UACGGAGGGUGCGAGCGUUGUCCGGAAUCAUUGGGCGUAAAGGGCGCGUAGGUGGCUCUUCAAGCGGGCGGUGAAAGCCUGGGGCUCAACCCCGGGUCGGCCGUGCGAACUGGGGGGCUGGAGCACUGUAGAGGCAGGCGGAAUUCCGGGAGUAGCGGUGGAAUGCGUAGAGAUCCGGAAGAACACCGGUGGCGAAGGCGGCCUGCUGGGCAGUUGCUGACACUGAGGCGCGACAGCGUGGGGAGCAAACAGG
RNAcentral lists this ribosomal RNA (253 nucleotides) under uncultured bacterium. RNAcentral describes it as "partial 16S ribosomal RNA". It matches the Rfam family "Bacterial small subunit ribosomal RNA", at positions 524 to 776 of the family's 1533-position model. The record is from RNAcentral.